UGAGGAAUAUUGGUCAAUGGCCGGAAGGCUGAACCAGCCAAGUCGCGUGAGGGAAUAAGGCCCUACGGGUCGUAAACCUCUUUUGCCAGGGAGCAAUGCCGUCCACGUGUGGACGGAAGGAGAGUAUCUGGAGAAAAAGCAUCGGCUAACUCCGUGCCAGCAGCCGCGGUAAUACGGAGGAUGCGAGCGUUAUCCGGAUUUAUUGGGUUUAAAGGGUGCGUAGGCGGCCUGCCAAGUCAGCGGUAAAAUUGCGGGGCUCAACCCCGUACAGCCGUUGAAACUGCCGGGCUCGAGUGGGCGAGAAGUAUGCGGAAUGCGUGGUGUAGCGGUGAAAUGCAUAGAUAUCACGCAGAACCCCGAUUGCGAAGGCAGCAUACCGGCGCCCGACUGACGCUGAGGCACGAAAGUGCGGGGAUCAAACAGGAUUAGAUACCCUGGUAGUCCGCACAGUAAACGAUGAAUGCUAGCUGUCCGGGGGGAUUGACCCCUGG
This 491-nucleotide ribosomal RNA is filed under the name uncultured bacterium. RNAcentral's name for it is "bacterial SSU rRNA". It matches the Rfam family "Bacterial small subunit ribosomal RNA", at positions 355 to 842 of the family's 1533-position model. The record is from RNAcentral.